RNAcentral lists this ribosomal RNA (403 nucleotides) under uncultured bacterium. RNAcentral describes it as "partial 16S ribosomal RNA". It matches the Rfam family "Bacterial small subunit ribosomal RNA", at positions 29 to 526 of the family's 1533-position model. The record is from RNAcentral.
AUUGAACGCUGGCGGCAGGCCUAACACAUGCAAGUCGAGCGAGCGGCGGACGGGUGAGUAAUGUAUGGGGACUGCCCGAUAGAGGGGGAUAACUACUGGAAACGGUGGCUAAUACCGCAUACUAUCGGAUAACCCAUAUGGGAUUAGCUAGUAGGUGGGGUAAAGGCUCACCUAGGCGACGAUCUCUAGCUGGUCUGAGAGGAUGAUCGGCCACACUGGGACGGGAACACGGACCAAAAUCCUACGGGGGCAGCAGUGGGGAAGAUUGGAAAAUGGGGGAAAGCCGUAUGAAACCAGGCCGGGUGGAUGAAGAAGGGCUUAGGGUUGUAAAGUACUUUGAGCGGGGAGGCGUUACCCGCAGAAGAAGCACCGGCUAACUCCGUGCCAGCAGCCGCGGUAAUAC